RNAcentral lists this ribosomal RNA (424 nucleotides) under uncultured prokaryote. RNAcentral's name for it is "bacterial SSU rRNA". It matches the Rfam family "Bacterial small subunit ribosomal RNA", at positions 355 to 796 of the family's 1533-position model. The record is from RNAcentral.
UGGGGAAUAUUGGACAAUGGGCGCAAGCCUGAUCCAGCCAUGCCGCGUGGAUGAAGAAGGCCCUAGGGUUGUAAAAUCCUUUCGCUAGGGAAGAUAAUGACGGUACCUAGUAAAGAAGCCCCGGCUAAUUUCGUGCCAGCAGCCGCGGUAAUACGAAAGGGGCUAGCGUUGUUCGGAAUUACUGGGCGUAAAGCGCACGUAGGCGGCCUAUUAAGUUGGGGGUGAAAUCCCGGAGCUCAACUCCGGAACUGCCUUCAAAACUGGUAGGCUAGAGGAUGCGAGAGGAUAGUGGAAUUCCGAGUGUAGAGGUGAAAUUCGUAGAUAUUCGGAAGAACACCAGUGGCGAAGGCGACUGUCUGGCGCAUAUCUGACGCUGAGGUGCGAAAGCGUGGGGAGCAAACAGGAUUAGAUACCCCCGUAGUCC